Molecule: ribosomal RNA, 253 nt
Filed under: uncultured bacterium
Lineage: Bacteria
Description: partial 16S ribosomal RNA
Rfam family: Bacterial small subunit ribosomal RNA
Source: RNAcentral
UACGUAGGGUGCGAGCGUUGUCCGGAAUUACUGGGCGUAAAGAGCUCGUAGGUGGUUUGUCGCGUUGUCCGUGAAAACUCACAGCUCAACUGUGGGCGUGCGGGCGAUACGGGCAGACUGGAGUACUGCAGGGGAGACUGGAAUUCCUGGUGUAGCGGUGAAAUGCGCAGAUAUCAGGAGGAACACCGAUGGCGAAGGCAGGUCUCUGGGCCACUACUGACGCUGAGAAGCGAAAGCAUGGGGAGCGAACAGG